RNAcentral lists this long non-coding RNA (1035 nucleotides) under Phoenix dactylifera (date palm). Its description in RNAcentral is "long non-coding RNA (PDAC_LNC004075)". The record is from RNAcentral. Lineage: Eukaryota; Viridiplantae; Streptophyta; Magnoliopsida; Arecales; Arecaceae.
AAAGGGGGAUGGACUUUGGCAAUGAGGUUGUAAUUGAGAGAUAAAAUAGUGGAAGGACGAAAAAAAAGAGAGAGCAAAGUCAAGUGGUGGAAGAAAGGAAUAUCAUAAUAAGGAAUAUCUGAGUCCCCGCAUAAAGACAUGAAUGAGAGGAUGAGAAAUUUUUUUAUUAGGAAGGAAUCAGAAGGUUAAAGAAUUAGUCGUUCCAUGGUCAUGCUGAUGAUUGAUGGCUUAAUGUAAGAGAUCAUACUUCAGAGAUUAUAGGCAUGCUUUAUAAUUGGAAAGGGAUGUUUAGAUGUGAAUUAUUGCACGAAAGGCAUGGAAACUAGUUAAUAAUAACUCCUGGAAUUAAGAAACUUAGCUUCCAAACAAGUUACAUGCACAUGAAGUUGGAAGUUGGGCCAUUUUGAGGCACUUGCUCUACAUUUGACUCUAAGCAAGUUGCUUGAAAGCCAGCAGCUCAUCUGCGAAGCCCUCGGAAUGCAUUAAUCAUCAUGCCACUUAGGACUCACGAUUGUUUACUUACUCAGAUAUUAAGUUAUUGUAAUCCUACUCGCAUACUCAUAUACAAUCUAUAGAUAGCCAUCAAAUAUGCAAUUGCAGUUGAACCAAACAACCAUCCAACUCUUGUCAGGCAAUAAACACAUUAUACAAUAUGCAGUGCGAUUAAAUAACUUAGAUACCAUGUAAUUCUCUCCUCUUUUUGAAGGAUAGAGGCUCUGUUAAAAAAAAAUUCACAUUCUACAGUAGAGUAGAUGCUAGUACAAAAUGGUCCUUUGACCCCAAAAAUGACCCCCCAGCAGCUCAGACUGUCCUAUUGAAGGUGGUGGGUGGUUCCCUCAACAAAUGCUGGUAUCCUAUGGUGCAUCUGCCUCAGAGUUUGGGAAAUGGCAAGGAAAGAACCCGCCAUGAGAGCAUCAUCAAGUCUUCAACCCCUUUAAUUUCUUCUGUUCACUGAAUCAAAGAAAAGCCCACACAGUACAAUUACCCAGUCUUCCUUUUCUGGUAGAUAGAAUCUACUUAAUUUUCAAAGUUAGA